CAGGUGAAUAUAGUUUAACCAAAACACUAAACUGUGGACUUAGAAAUAAGAGCCAG
RNAcentral lists this transfer RNA (56 nucleotides) under Phyllodactylus magnus. RNAcentral's name for it is "partial tRNA-His". Lineage: Eukaryota; Metazoa; Chordata; Lepidosauria; Squamata; Phyllodactylidae. The record is from RNAcentral.